RNAcentral lists this ribosomal RNA (460 nucleotides) under uncultured bacterium. Its description in RNAcentral is "partial 16S ribosomal RNA". It matches the Rfam family "Bacterial small subunit ribosomal RNA", at positions 338 to 795 of the family's 1533-position model. The record is from RNAcentral.
CCUACGGGUGGCAGCAGUGAGGAAUAUUGGUCAAUGGACGAGAGUCUGAACCAGCCAAGUAGCGUGAAGGAUGACUGCCCUAUGGGUUGUAAACUUCUUUUAUAUGGGAAUAAAACAGGGUAUGCAUACCCUCUUGUAUGUACCAUAUGAAUAAGGAUCGGCUAACUCCGUGCCAGCAGCCGCGGUAAUACGGAGGAUCCGAGCGUUAUCCGGAUUUAUUGGGUUUAAAGGGAGCGUAGGUGGAUUGUUAAGUCAGUUGUGAAAGUUUGCGGCUCAACCGUAAAAUUGCAGUUGAAACUGGCAGUCUUGAGUACAGUAGAGGUGGGCGGAAUUCGUGGUGUAGCGGUGAAAUGCUUAGAUAUCACGAAGAACUCCGAUUGCGAAGGCGGCUUACUGGACUGUAAAUGACGCUGAGGCUCGAAAGCGUGGGGAGCAAACAGGAUUAGAUACCCUUGUAGUC